CUAAGGCGAGGCCGACAGGCGUAGUCGAUGGACAACCAGUUGAUAUUCUGGUACCCGGAUGGAAGCGCCCGUGGUGAAUCAGUGAUACUAACCGCCCUGAAGCCUGAUGGCAGUCUUUUGGAUUGUUGUUGGUGUGGAUGCGUGGGAUCUGAUCUGGUAGUAGCCAAGCGAUGGUGUGACACAGGAAGGUAGCCGAGCCACUGAGUGGAUUGUGGUGUAAGCGUGUAGCCCGCAUGGUAGGUAAAUCCGCUGUGCAUGGUGGGUGAGGCGUGAUGCGUACCCCUUUGUUGGGGGAUGUUGGUGAUCCUAUGCUGUCGAGAAAAGCAUCUAGCGAUGUUUCCAUCUGGCCCGUACCCCAAACCGACACAGGUGGUCAGGUAGAGAAUACUAAGGCGAUCGGGUGAACUGUGGUUAAGGAACUCGGCAAAAUGCCCCCGUAACUUCGGGAGAAGGGGGACCACUGCUGGUGACAGACUGGUUUUGAGCUGGUGGUGGUCGCAGAGAAUAGAGGGAAGCGACUGUUUACUAAAAACACAGGUCCAUGCGAAGACGAUAAGUCGAUGUAUAUGGACUGACGCCUGCCCGGUGCUGGAAGGUUAAGAGGACCUGUUAGUCACUUUGGUGGCGAAGCGGAGAAUUUAAGCCCCAGUAAACGGCGGUGGUAACUAUAACCAUCCUAAGGUAGCGAAAUUCCUUGUCGGGUAAGUUCCGACCUGCACGAAUGGCGUAACGACUUCCCUGCUGUCUCAACCACAGGCCCGGCGAAAUUGCAGUACGAGUAAAGAUGCUCGUUACGCGCGGCAGGACGAAAAGACCCCGGGACCUUCACUAUAGCUUGGUAUUGAUAUUCGGUUCGGUUUGUGUAGGAUAGGUGGGAGACUGUGAUCACAUGACGCCAGUUGUGUGGGAGUCGUUGUUGAAAUACCACUCUGGUCGUAUUGGAUAUCUUAACCUCGGCCCAUGAUCUGGGUUAGGGACAGUGCCUGGUGGGUAGUUUAACUGGGGCGGUUGCCUCCUAAAGAGUAACGGAGGCGCCCAAAGGUUUCCUCAGCCUGGUUGGCAAUCAGGUGGUGAGUGUAAGUGCACAAGGGAGCUUGACUGUGAGACUGACAGGUCGAGCAGGUACGAAAGUAGGGACUAGUGAUCCGGCACUGGCUUGUGGAAGCGGUGUCGCUCAACGGAUAAAAGGUACCCCGGGGAUAACAGGCUGAUCUUCCCCAAGAGUCCAUAUCGACGGGAUGGUUUGGCACCUCGAUGUCGGCUCGUCGCAUCCUGGGGCUGGAGUAGGUCCCAAGGGUUGGGCUGUUCGCCCAUUAAAGCGGCACGCGAGCUGGGUUUAGAACGUCGUGAGACAGUUCGGUCUCUAUCCGCCGCGCGCGUAGAAACUUGAGAAAGGCUGUCCCUAGUACGAGAGGACCGGGACGGACGUACCUCUAGUGUGCCAGUUGUCACGCCCGUGGCAUGGCUGGUUGGCUACGUACGGAAGGGAUAACCGCUGAAAGCAUCUAAGCGGGAAGCCUGUUUCGAGAUAAGGUUUCGUGAUCAGGUGCCCUCUAGACUAGGGGGUUGAUAGGCCAGAGCUGGAAGCGUAGUAAUGCGUGUUGAGGUGACUGGUACUAAUGCGCCGAACACACCAAAA
This 1639-nucleotide ribosomal RNA is filed under the name human oral metagenome. RNAcentral's name for it is "bacterial LSU rRNA". It matches the Rfam family "Bacterial large subunit ribosomal RNA", at positions 1391 to 2925 of the family's 2925-position model. The record is from RNAcentral.